GUGCUUGCUUUGGCAGCACAUGCACUAAAGUGGGAACGAUACGGAGAAGAUUAGCCUGGCCUCUGCGCAAGGAUGACACAAAUUGGUGAAGUGUUGCACAUUUUU
Molecule: small nuclear RNA, 105 nt
Organism: Octodon degus (degu)
Lineage: Eukaryota; Metazoa; Chordata; Mammalia; Rodentia; Octodontidae
Source: Ensembl